This 3350-nucleotide long non-coding RNA is filed under the name Homo sapiens (human). RNAcentral's name for it is "HSALNT0147241". Lineage: Eukaryota; Metazoa; Chordata; Mammalia; Primates; Hominidae. The record is from RNAcentral.
UAAAAGAGCAGACAGCUGCUUGUACUGGCAAGAGAAUGAGAAGAGCUUGUCAGCACUCACUCUUCUACCCUUCCUCAGCUGAAUCACCACCGUCUUCCUCUUUACCUCAUUUUGCUCUCUCUUUGCCUGGUCCAGGAGCAUAGAGGCCAUCACCCUACCCUUUUGCCUCCAACUCUGGGAAAACAGAACAGUCUAAUCUCUCUUUCUCUGGUUAAACCUGCAUAAGUCUCAACUCUAAUACUUUAAGCAAGUCUGACAGUUGAUAAACUUCACCUUGACUCAUAAUCAUCCUGUCAAUCUCUCUCUUUAACAAACAUACAGAUCACUCAAUGUUCCAAGAUUCAUGUAAAAAGAAGUCUUUUGUUUUAAUCACUGAGAACUUCCGGAGAAAAGAAGAAAGUUCUUCAUGGAUCUGAUGCCUACAUGCUAUCUGCCUGGGUGCCACUGGAGCUCUGAAUUUUACAUACCAGGAGAAGAUUAGGACACCUAGAGAGACACUAGGGGUUCCUUUGCACAGAAGAAAGGCCACAUGAAGAUGGGGACACAGCAAGAAGGCAGCGGCAGCAAGCAAAGGAGAGAGGCCUCUGAGGAAACCAACCCUGCCAAACACCUGCUGCUUGGACUUCUAGCGUCCAGAACUGUGGACUCUUAUCAAUACCGAACAUUGAAAUCUGGAGGCUCGGCCAUCAGAACUCUUACACAGCACAGAAGACGAGUUUCACGGGUCACUCAGCAUCUACUGGAAGGAUGGAAAAAAUCAAGAAUUUGGCACCCUAAACACAACAUGAGAAGGUUUCACUCAGUAAUGGCCUCCUGAAAACAACUUAAUCUUCUUGGACAAGACUCUGAACUGAAAUCAAGGUUUCAAAAUAUUUUGUUGUGAGUGAUGAAGCUGUCUGGACCUAACUUUUCCGAGAGGCCAAGAAACCAUUCUGUAAUCCUGCAAAAUGGUUUCUGAAGAGUCUGGUGAAAUGCAACUGUUAUCCCUCACUUUGCAUUUUGCUCCAACGAUUCUGAGGUGCAACUUAUGGAUGAGACUGAUUUCUUUCCAUAUUGCUGUAGUAAAUUGGUUUUUGUUGUUUUCAUGGGCUUUGUAAAUCUUGCUGAUAAAAUCCAUAAGUGAUUUGCUAACAUAAAAGCUAACUGGAGAAACAUAAAAAAUAAUUCAAAAAUCAUUUCAUCUUAUCAACUGGAUUAAAAUUAAAAUUAUUAGAAAUACUAAUGAUAGUAUUUCUUUCCAGAGUGGUAAUGGAGUUUUUUUCCUUUUUAUUAAUAGCCCUUAAUGUAUCUUAUGGGAACAAUUAAUAGACAUUCUUCAAACUCCUUCAGAAAGCCCAAUGACAAGUGGCAUUUUUACCAGCGAGAUUCUCAGCGAAUAUAUAAUUCUUUGUCAAUAUUCAAAUUAAGGCAGAAACUCUAGAGUCUGAUCUGUAUCUAUUUCAUCUUUUAAAUGUGUUGAAAGGCCUCUGAGUGCAUCUUAAGCAGUUGGUAAAUAUUUUUCAGGUCAUCACAUACAGGAACUGGACCCCAGUUUUUCCUAAAAAAAUAUGUAUGUACAGAUGACAGAAAAAAAAUUGCCUUCAGAAAAUGGAACCCAUGUGCCAAGGCCUGGUCAGUAAAAAAAUCCCUAAUUUUUGCUUGUUUUAUAAUUUGUCUUAGGUUUUCUCUGACACUAGUGGAUUUCUUUUUUAAGGCAGUCAUAGUUCUAAUACUGUUCAGGCCUUGAAAAAUCCAAUCUAGGCUGGAUUAUGGUGGCUCACACUUGUAGUCCCAGCACUUUUGGAGCUCUGGGUAGAAGGAUCGCUUGAGGCCAGGAGUUUGAGACCAGCCUGGGAAACACAGCAAGAACUAUUUCUACAAAAGAUUUUAAAAAAUUAACUGGGCAUGGUGGUUUGCACCUGUAGUCCUAGGUACUUGUGAAGCUGAGGUGGGAGGAUCACUCAAGCCCAGAAGUUGGAGGCUGCAGUGAGCCAUGACUGCACCACUGUACUCCAGCCUGGGUGAUGGUGCAAGACCCCAACUCUAAAAAAAUAAAAAUAAACAGUCUGAUGAAGAGUCUUUUGAUAUUCUUAUUUCUUUCACUAUUCAGCUUUGGCAUCUCUCCCCCAGCACUGCUCUUGUGUUCUAGUGGUGUCAGACAUAAAUACACACACACCGCUUUUCACCAAUGCCUCUACUUCUUGGGUGGCAGAACCUCUUAUUAUACUUCACUGAUGUUCCAGGAGAUUGAAAAACCAGGGAAAUGCAAUUCUUGCCUAUUUAUUUUUAAAGUUUGAAAAUGGUGGACCUGACUGUUACCCCUUAAUUAAUUAUUUAGAAAGGCGACUUUCUCUUUGGAGGUUCCCAAACCCUGUAUUAAACCUCACCACUGCUAAGCACUUAAAUGUUUGCUUACUAAGGAUAAUAUUUUAGGAAGAAAGACAUCAUAUGAAUUCAGGUACCGUAUGCUUGGAUAAUCUUAGAAAUCCCUAUCAGAGCUAACAUUUUUUGACCAACAUUUAUUACGAAAUCUUCCAAAGAGGGUCUAAAAUCAUAGCUGCAACUUUAAACAACAGUGACGAUGCCAAUCUGUAACAAAACUUCUGAUUUUUAUAAUGACCUUCCUCCCUCCCUCCCUUACUUCCUUUUCCAACAAUCUGUAACAAAACUGUUGGUUUUUAUAAUGACCCUUCCUUCCUUUCAUCUGUAACAAAACUGUUGGUUUUUAUAAUGACCCUUCCUUCCUUCCUUCCUUCCUUCCUUCCUCCCUCCCUCCCUCCCUCCCUCCCUCCCUCCCUCCCUCCUUUCCUUUCGAUGGGGUCUCCUUUGUAGCCUAGGCUGGAGUGCACUAGGGUGAUCAUGGCUCAUUGCAGCCUCUGCCUCCUGGGCUCAAGUGAUCCUCCCACCUCAGACUCCAAAGUAGCUAGAACCACAGGUGCACACCACCAUGCCCUGCUAAUUUUUUGUAUUUUUGGUAGAGAGAGUGUUUUUGUGAUGUUGCCCAGGCUAGUCUCAAACUCCUGAGCUCAAGUGAUCCACCUGCCUCGGCCUCCCAAAACUGGGAUUGAUUACAGGUGUGAGCCACCAUGCCUGGCCAUGACAUGUUUUUUAAAAUCAACCUCAGAGAACUAAAUUUAAUAGUAGGAAGAUAUUUUUGAGCAUUUCUCUUUUUAAAAAGAGAAAUUAAAAAACCACACUCACUUCCAUCAUGUUUCCCCUACUCAUUCUUCACUUAGUGACAUAAAACUCAAACAUUUUUAUCAGCACCAUGAGGCUUUAUAAAAGCAGAUCUUAAAAACUCCACUGAGUUUAGGUAAAGAUAACAGUAUGGAGAAAUAAGUCAGAGCUGAAUUCCUAAGAAGAGAAAGAGC